GGCUCCGUAGCUCAGGGGUUAGAGCACUGGUCUCGUAAACCAGGGGUCGUGAGUUCGAAUCUCACCGGGGCCU
Aethalodelphis obliquidens (Pacific white-sided dolphin) is the source of this 73-nucleotide non-coding RNA. Lineage: Eukaryota; Metazoa; Chordata; Mammalia; Artiodactyla; Delphinidae. The record is from the annotation of a RefSeq genome assembly.